This 497-nucleotide ribosomal RNA is filed under the name Rahnella sp. Z5S1-T5. Its description in RNAcentral is "bacterial SSU rRNA". It matches the Rfam family "Bacterial small subunit ribosomal RNA", at positions 38 to 524 of the family's 1533-position model. Lineage: Bacteria; Pseudomonadati; Pseudomonadota; Gammaproteobacteria; Enterobacterales; Yersiniaceae. The record is from RNAcentral.
GGCGGCAGGCCUAACACAUGCAAGUCGAGCGGCAGCGGGAAGUAGCUUGCUACUUUGCCGGCGAGCGGCGGACGGGUGAGUAAUGUCUGGGAAACUGCCUGAUGGAGGGGGAUAACUACUGGAAACGGUAGCUAAUACCGCAUGACGUCGCAAGACCAAAGUGGGGGACCUUCGGGCCUCACGCCAUCGGAUGUGCCCAGAUGGGAUUAGCUAGUAGGUGAGGUAAUGGCUCACCUAGGCGACGAUCCCUAGCUGGUCUGAGAGGAUGACCAGCCACACUGGAACUGAGACACGGUCCAGACUCCUACGGGAGGCAGCAGUGGGGAAUAUUGCACAAUGGGCGCAAGCCUGAUGCAGCCAUGCCGCGUGUGUGAAGAAGGCCUUAGGGUUGUAAAGCACUUUCAGCGAGGAGGAAGGCGUUGUAGUUAAUAGCUGCAACGAUUGACGUUACUCGCAGAAGAAGCACCGGCUAACUCCGUGCCAGCAGCCGCGGUAAU